AUUGAACGCUGGCGGCAUGCCUUACACAUGCAAGUCGAACGGCAGCACGGGAGCAAUCCUGGUGGCGAGUGGCGAACGGGUGAGUAAAGUAUCGGAACGUGCCCAGUCGUGGGGAUACCGUAGCGAAAGUUACGCUAAUACCGCAUACGAUCUAUGGAUGAAAGCGGGGGAUCGCAAGACCUCGCGCGAUUGGAGGGGCCGAUAUCAGAUGAGGUAGUUGGUGGGGUAAAGGCUCACCAAGCCGACGAUCUGUAGCUGGUCUGAGAGGACGACCAGCCACACUGGGACUGAGACACGGCCCAGACUCCUACGGGAGGCAGCAGUGGGGAAUUUUGGACAAUGGGCGAAAGCCUGAUCCAGCCAUGCCGCGUGCAGGAUGAAGGCCUUCGGGUUGUAAACUGCUUUUGUACGGAACGAAAAGGUUUGGCCUAAUAAGCUGAGCUCAUGACGGUACCGUAAGAAUAAGCACCGGCUAACUACGUGCCAGCCGCCGCCGUAA
This 499-nucleotide ribosomal RNA is filed under the name uncultured bacterium. RNAcentral's name for it is "partial 16S ribosomal RNA". It matches the Rfam family "Bacterial small subunit ribosomal RNA", at positions 30 to 523 of the family's 1533-position model. The record is from RNAcentral.